AUUGAACGCUGGCGGCAUGCCUUACACAUGCAAGUCGAACGGCAGCACGGGUGCUUGCACCUGGUGGCGAGUGGCGAACGGGUGAGUAAUACAUCGGAACAUGUCCUGUAGUGGGGGAUAGCCGGGCGAAAGCCGGAUUAAUACCGCAUACGAUCUACGGAUGAAAGCGGGGGACCUUCGGGCCUCGCGCGAUAGGGUCGGCCGAGGGCGGAUUAGCUAGUUGGUGGGGUCAAGGCCUACCAAGGCGACGAUCAGUAGCUGGUCUGAGAGGACGACCAGCCACACUGGGACUGAGACACGGCCCAGACUCCUACGGGAGGCAGCAGUGGGGAAUUUUGGACAAUGGGCGAAAGCCUGAUCCAGCAAUGCCGCGUGUGUGAAGAAGGCCUUCGGGUUGUAAAGCACUUUUGUCCGGAAAGAAAUCCUUGGCCCUAAUACGGUCGGGGGAUGACGGUACCGGAAGAAUAAGCACCGGCUAACUACGUG
Molecule: ribosomal RNA, 486 nt
Filed under: uncultured bacterium
Lineage: Bacteria
Description: partial 16S ribosomal RNA
Rfam family: Bacterial small subunit ribosomal RNA
Source: RNAcentral